UACGGGAGGCAGCAGUGGGGAAUAUUGCACAAUGGGCGCAAGCCUGAUGCAGCCAUGCCGCGUGUAUGAAGAAGGCCUUCGGGUUGUAAAGUACUUUCAGUCGUGAGGAAGGUGUUAAGGUUAAUAACCUUAGCAAUUGACGUUAGCGACAGAAGAAGCACUGGCUAACUCCGUGCCAGCAGCCGCGGUAAUACAGAGGGUGCGAGCGUUAAUCGGAAUUACUGGGCGUAAAGGGCACGCAGGCGGUUAAUUAAGUUGGAUGUGAAAUCCCCGGGCUUAACCUGGGAAUGGCAUUCAAGACUGGUUAGCUAGAGUCUUGUAGAGGGGGUAGAAUUCCAUGUGUAGCGGUGAAAUGCGUAGAGAUGUGGAGGAAUACCGGUGGCGAAGGCGGCCCCUGGGACAAGACUGACGCUCAUGUGCGAAAGCGUGGGGAGCAAACAGGGAUUAGAUACC
RNAcentral lists this ribosomal RNA (453 nucleotides) under uncultured bacterium. RNAcentral describes it as "bacterial SSU rRNA". It matches the Rfam family "Bacterial small subunit ribosomal RNA", at positions 340 to 786 of the family's 1533-position model. The record is from RNAcentral.